RNAcentral lists this unclassified non-coding RNA (202 nucleotides) under soil metagenome. Its description in RNAcentral is "partial contains 5.8S ribosomal RNA, internal transcribed spacer 2, and large subunit ribosomal RNA". The record is from RNAcentral.
AACCUAGCACACCUGCGGUGUGUACCUGCGGAGGGAUCAUUACCUAGAGUUGUAGGCUUUGCCUGCUAUCUCUUACCCAUGUCUUUUGAGUACCUUACGUUUCCUCGGUGGGCUCGCCCACCGAUUGGACAAAUUUAAACCCUUUGCAGUUGAAAUCAGCGUCUGAAAAAACUUAAUAGUUACAACUUUUAGCAAUGGAUCU